Molecule: ribosomal RNA, 468 nt
Filed under: uncultured bacterium
Lineage: Bacteria
Description: partial 16S ribosomal RNA
Rfam family: Bacterial small subunit ribosomal RNA
Source: RNAcentral
GACGAACGCUGGCGGCGUGCUUAACACAUGCAAGUCGAACGGAAAGGCCCUGCUUUUGUGGGGUGCUCGAGUGGCGAACGGGUGAGUAACACGUGAGUAACCUGCCCUUGACUUUGGGAUAACUCCAGGAAACUGGGGCUAAUACCGGAUAGGAGCUCCUGCUGCAUGGGGGGGGUUGGAAAGAUUCGGCGGUUGGGGAUGGUCUCGCGGCUUAUCAGCUUGUUGGUGGGGUAGUGGCUUACCAAGGCUUUGACGGGUAGCCGGCCUGAGAGGGUGACCGGCCACAUUGGGACUGAGAUACGGCCCAGACUCCUACGGGAGGCAGCAGUGGGGAAUAUUGCACAAUGGGCGGAAGCCUGAUGCAGCAACGCCGCGUGCGGGAUGACGGCCUUCGGGUUGUAAACCGCUUUCGCCUGUGACGAAGCGUGAGUGACGGUAAUGGGUAAAAAAGCACCGGCUAACUACGUG